AAUGGGGGCAACCCUGAUCCAGCCAUGCCGCGUGAGUGAAGAAGGCCUUAGGGUUGUAAAGCUCUUUCACCCGUGACGAUGAUGACGGUAGCGGGAGAAGAAGCCCCGGCUAAUUCCGUGCCAGCAGCCGCGGUAAUACGUAGGGUGCAAGCGUUAAUCGGAAUUACUGGGCAUAAAGCGUGCGCAGGCGGAUGUUCAAGCCAGAUGUGAAAGCCCCGAGCCUAACUUGGGAAUUGCGUUUGGAACUGAGCAGCUAGAGUCUGUCAGAAGGGGAUGGAAUUCCACGUGUAGCAGUGAAAUGCGUAGAGAUGUGGAGGAACACCGAUGGCGAAGGCAGUCCCCUGGGAUAAGACUGACGCUCAUGCACGAAAGCGUGGGGAGCAAA
RNAcentral lists this ribosomal RNA (385 nucleotides) under uncultured bacterium. Its description in RNAcentral is "bacterial SSU rRNA". It matches the Rfam family "Bacterial small subunit ribosomal RNA", at positions 370 to 772 of the family's 1533-position model. The record is from RNAcentral.